This 918-nucleotide ribosomal RNA is filed under the name uncultured bacterium. Its description in RNAcentral is "bacterial SSU rRNA". It matches the Rfam family "Bacterial small subunit ribosomal RNA", at positions 33 to 942 of the family's 1533-position model. The record is from RNAcentral.
ACGCUGGCGGCAGGCUUAACACAUGCAAGUCGAACGGUAACAGGAAUUAGCUUGCUAAUUUGCUGACGAGUGGCGGACGGGUGAGUAAUGCUUGGGAAUCUGGCUUGUGGAGGGGGAUAACUACGGGAAACUGUAGCUAAUACCGCGUAAAAUCUUCGGAUUAAAGGGUGGGACUUUCGAGCCACCUGCCAUAAGAUGAGCCCAAGUGGGAUUAGGUAGUUGGUUAGGUAAAGGCUGACCAAGCCGACGAUCUCUAGCUGGUCUGAGAGGAUGACCAGCCACACUGGAACUGAGACACGGUCCAGACUCCUACGGGAGGCAGCAGUGGGGAAUAUUGCACAAUGGGGGGAACCCUGAUGCAGCCAUGCCGCGUGAAUGAAGAAGGCCUUCGGGUUGUAAAGUUCUUUCGGUGACGAGGAAGGUUGAUAGGUUAAUAGCCUAUCAAAUUGACGUUAAUCACAGAAGAAGCACCGGCUAACUCCGUGCCAGCAGCCGCGGUAAUACGGGGGGUGCGAGCGUUAAUCGGAAUAACUGGGCGUAAAGGGCACGCAGGCGGUGACUUAAGUGAGAUGUGAAAGCUCCGAGCUUAACUUGGGAAUUGCAUUUCAUACUGGGUCGCUAGAGUACUUUAGGGAGGGGUAGAAUUCCACGUGUAGCGGUGAAAUGCGUAGAGAUGUGGAGGAAUACCGAAGGCGAAGGCAGCCCCUUGGGAAUGUACUGACGCUCAUGUGCGAAAGCGUGGGGAGCAAACAGGAUUAGAUACCCUGGUAGUCCACGCUGUAAACGAUGUCGAUUUGGGGAUUGGGCUUUGAGCUUGGUGCCCGUAGCUAACGUGAUAAAUCGACCGCCUGGGGAGUACGGCCGCGAGGUUAAAACUCAAAUGAAUUGACGGGGGCCCGCACAAGCGGUGGAGCAUGU